Molecule: ribosomal RNA, 253 nt
Filed under: uncultured bacterium
Lineage: Bacteria
Description: partial 16S ribosomal RNA
Rfam family: Bacterial small subunit ribosomal RNA
Source: RNAcentral
GACGGAGGAUGCAAGUGUUAUCCGGAAUCACUGGGCGUAAAGCAUCUGUAGGUGGUCAAAUAAGUCAACUGUUAAAUCUUGAGGCUCAACCUCAAAACCGCAGUCGAAACUAUUAGACUAGAGUAUAGUAGGGGUAAAGGGAAUUUCCAGUGGAGCGGUGAAAUGCGUAGAGAUUGGAAAGAACACCGAUGGCGAAGGCACUUUACUGGGCUAUGACUAACACUCAGAGACGAAAGCUAGGGUAGCAAAUGGG